GAGAUGUUUGUCCAGGUUCAAGCACUGCACCCUCUGUGGCAAGCGUCCCAGGUCCCAGGUCUCAGCCUGUCUCAGUUGCAUAGAAGAGAGACCCAGGAAAGGAAAGAUCAUAAUCCCUGAUAAUCUGCAGGUGAAAGGUGUACCUGAAAACUGAAUCUUUUAUUUUCCAUUUUGCCGUCACAUCACACAACCUCUAUCCGCAGGGAGGACAAGGCCUGGAAGCCCUCGUCAAAACGGUUUCCUUUACCUCCAACUGCCAGAAACCGGGGGAAGCAGGGCCUUUAGAAGAAUCGAGGUGUAUCUGUGUUUUUUUUGAAAGGAGAUGUUUGUCCAGGUUCAAGCACUGCACCCUCUGUGGCAAGCGUCCCAGGUCCCAGGUCUCAGCCUGUCUCAGUUGCAUAGAAGAGAGACCCAGGAAAGGAAAGAUCAUAAUCCCUGAUAAUCUGCAGGUGAAAGUAACAGUUGGAAGUGUCUAUCCCUCAGUUGCUGAUUUAUUAUUUAGAACAUGUUAA
This 512-nucleotide long non-coding RNA is filed under the name Sus scrofa (pig). RNAcentral's name for it is "lncRNA (ENSSSCG00005002709.1)". Lineage: Eukaryota; Metazoa; Chordata; Mammalia; Artiodactyla; Suidae. The record is from RNAcentral.